GAUGAACGCUGGCGGCGUGCCUAAUACAUGCAAGUCGAGCGAACAGAUAAGGAGCUUGCUCCCUUGACGUUAGCGGCGGACGGGUGAGUAACACGUGGGUAACCUACCUAUAAGACUGGGAUAACUUCGGGAAACCGGAGCUAAUACCGGAUAACAUUUGGAACCGCAUGGUUCUAAAGUGAAAGAUGGUUUUGCUAUCACUUAUAGAUGGACCCGCGCCGUAUUAGCUAGUUGGUAAGGUAACGGCUUACCAAGGCAACGAUACGUAGCCGACCUGAGAGGGUGAUCGGCCACACUGGAACUGAGACACGGUCCAGACUCCUACGGGAGGCAGCAGUAGGGAAUCUUCCGCAAUGGGCGAAAGCCUGACGGAGCAACGCCGCGUGAGUGAUGAAGGGUUUCGGCUCGUAAAACUCUGUUAUUAGGGAAGAACAAACGUGUAAGUAACUGUGCACGUCUUGACGGUACCUAAUCAGAAAGCCACGGCUAACUACGUG
This 497-nucleotide ribosomal RNA is filed under the name uncultured bacterium. Its description in RNAcentral is "partial 16S ribosomal RNA". It matches the Rfam family "Bacterial small subunit ribosomal RNA", at positions 28 to 507 of the family's 1533-position model. The record is from RNAcentral.